UAUAUAAACAGGGCAGUUUGGCUGCUGGAGGCUAGGCAGCAACAUUGUCUGGCUGGAGGGCUGCUGAGAACAAUCUGGAGGGUGAACAGUUAAACUGGCUCUAUUCUCUUUUGACAAGCCAACAGCUGUUUUUCCAAGGCAACAGAAAGAGCACCUAGCAAAUAAAUUAUCAAAAGUCUAGUAAAUUACAAAAGCUCCUGGUUCUUUGCCUGACUCUGGAAGGAAGACAAGCCUCUGAUGUCAUAACUAUGCUACUUCCAGCACAGUCCCCGCUGAGAAGCCCACCCUGCUACCUGUUCUUCUUCUGCCUGAACCAAAACCAGAAAUAAGGGAACAAAGCUAUUUUGGGGCAUCCCCCACUCUUAAGUUCUCCCCCCCAUUGACGCUCUUGAGGUAAGCUGAAAGACAGUGGUGGGGAGUACCCUCCUAGGGUCUUCAAUGCCUCAUUUCUUGGUUUGAUAUAUGUGGAGUAAGAGUGGAGUUCUCUAGAAUACAGUGGAAGCCAAACCACCUAAAAGGAGACAAUUUAUAUUUAAAGAACUAUUUGCUUUUUCCUGGAAAAAAUAUGCACAGAAGGUCCAAAGACAGUGAAGAAGGCAAUAAGAACUUGACAUGGAAUGAAGAGGAGGAAGGGAAAUGUUGAUUCAGUAUUCCCAUGUGUUUUAUAGAUAAAAUUCUUGGAUGGAUCUUGAAGUUGGCUAUUUUGUAUGCUUUGACAUAACAUCCAUAUUUUUACUGGCACUGUGAGGGUUAUCCGUUGCAUGCAUGUUUCUUUGUUUCAGGGUUUUUGGUGGUGAGGGUGUAUUUUUUGGACAUACGUUAACAAUGGAUGACAUUCAUGGCUAUUCACUUCAGUAAAAAAUGAAUAAACAUGAAUAGAACCCCUUGUUCAUACCUUUAGGUUUUUUAAAAAAAAAUUCUUGGUGGUUCAACAGACAGCACAGCAUAUUUCAGUUGAAGGGAAGGAUACGAUAGUGAUUUGACCAAUGAAUUUUAUUGUCACUAUAUGUAGAAUAAGACAUUUGAAUAAUCUGAAUUUCUGUGAAUGGAUUUAUAGUCUCAGUGUAUCCAUGUUUAGUUGCUAUCCUAUAUUAAUGUAAGAAUUAUUCAUCCUUUCCACCAAACCACCUAAGAGGAGAAACAGAAUUUAUACUGAAGGAACUAUUUCAUUUUUCCUGGAAAGAAAAAACCAUACUAGGACAAAUCUGAAAAGCAUCUGCUCGUAGUCUUGAAUACAAAAAUCUCUCAAAAUCUGGACACUAUGCCAAUGUUUAUGGUAUGCAUUAUAUUGCAGUAUUCAAAUAAACUUUCAUAACAUAAAGUUUAAAGAAAAAAUGUUAUGAACAGAAAGAGCUGUUUCUAAUAAU
Molecule: long non-coding RNA, 1367 nt
Organism: Alligator mississippiensis (American alligator)
Lineage: Eukaryota; Metazoa; Chordata; Crocodylia; Alligatoridae
Exons: 3
Source: RefSeq, a predicted model, not a curated record